AUGCAAGUCGAACGAGAAAGUGGAGCAAUCCAUGAAGUAAAGUGGCGACCGGGUGAGUAACACGUGACUAACCUACCUUCGAGUGGGGGAUAACCUCGGGAAACCGAGGCUAAUACCGCAUAACAUCGCAAGAUCAAAGCAGCAAUGCGCUGGAAGAGGGGGUCGCGGCUGAUUAGCCAGUUGGCGGGGUAACGGCCCACCAAAGCGAAGAUCGGUAGCCGGCCUGAGAGGGCGCACGGCCACACUGGAACUGAAACACGGUCCAGACUCCUACGGGAGGCAGCAGUGGGGAAUUUUGCGCAAUGGGGGAAACCCUGACGCAGCAACGCCGCGUGGAGGAUGAAGCCCCUUGGGGCGUAAACUCCUUUCGACCAAGACGAUAAUGACGGUACUGGUGGAAGAAGCACCGGCUAACUCUGUGCCAGCAGCCGCGGUAAUACAGAGG
RNAcentral lists this ribosomal RNA (445 nucleotides) under uncultured soil bacterium. Its description in RNAcentral is "bacterial SSU rRNA". It matches the Rfam family "Bacterial small subunit ribosomal RNA", at positions 55 to 531 of the family's 1533-position model. The record is from RNAcentral.